UCCUGGUUAGCUCAGGCGGUAGAGCAACCGCCCCAGGAAGGCGUUGGUCCCGGGUUCGAGUCCUGGACCAGGAC
Non-coding RNA from Dermacentor andersoni, 74 nucleotides. Lineage: Eukaryota; Metazoa; Arthropoda; Arachnida; Ixodida; Ixodidae. The record is from the annotation of a RefSeq genome assembly.